Molecule: ribosomal RNA, 250 nt
Filed under: uncultured bacterium
Lineage: Bacteria
Description: partial 16S ribosomal RNA
Rfam family: Bacterial small subunit ribosomal RNA
Source: RNAcentral
UACAGAGGGUGCGAGCGUUAAUCGGAUUUACUGGGCGUAAAGCGUGUGUAGGUUGUUGUUCAAGUCAGUUGUGAAAUCCCUGGGCUCAACCUGGGAACUGCUUCUGAGACUGAACGACUAGAGUACGGUAGAGGGUGGUGGAAUUUCCGGUGUAGCGGUGAAAUGCGUAGAUAUCGGAAGGAACAUCAAUGGCGAAGGCAGCCACCUGGGCCUGUACUGACACUGAGACACGAAAGCGUGGGGAUCAAAC